AUGCUCACCUCAGCAGCAUAUAUACUAAAAUUGAAAUGAUACAGAGAAGAUUAGCAUGCAAGGAUGAAUUGCAAAUUUGUGAAGUGCUCCGUAUUUUU
Small nuclear RNA from Aotus nancymaae (Ma's night monkey), 98 nucleotides. NCBI's taxonomy places the organism in Eukaryota, Metazoa, Chordata, Mammalia, Primates, Aotidae. The record is from Ensembl.